This 209-nucleotide long non-coding RNA is filed under the name Nicotiana benthamiana. RNAcentral's name for it is "long non-coding RNA (NBEN_LNC017728)". The record is from RNAcentral. Lineage: Eukaryota; Viridiplantae; Streptophyta; Magnoliopsida; Solanales; Solanaceae.
UAACAUCUGCAAAGUUGCCCCCCUCCCGGGCCGGCGAUUCAGGACUGUAGCCGGCGGCUUCACGAGCGACCCUAACCAAAUGGUGCUGGCCCUCAACCUCCCCCUCAAACGCUCGACCAGCCGCCCAAAACUCUUCAAGCACGACCAGCCUGGCCUCCGCAUACAACCAUAUCUCGUGUGCCUCACGAUACGCGUCGGCCGGAGCAAGG